This 253-nucleotide ribosomal RNA is filed under the name uncultured bacterium. Its description in RNAcentral is "partial 16S ribosomal RNA". It matches the Rfam family "Bacterial small subunit ribosomal RNA", at positions 524 to 776 of the family's 1533-position model. The record is from RNAcentral.
AACGUAGGAGACAAACGUUAUCCGGGGUUACUGGGCGUAAAGGGCGUGUAGGUGGUUUCGUAAGUCUGGCGUGAAAUUUUUCGGCUUAACCGGGAAAGGUCGUCGGAUACUGCGGAACUAGAGGACGGUAGAGGCGUGUGGAAUUCCGGGUGUAGUGGUGAAAUGCGUAGAGAUCCGGAGGAACACCAGUGGCGAAGGCGACACGCUGGGCCGUACCUGACACUGAUGCGCGACAGCAUGGGGAGCAAACAGG